GAUGAACGCUGGCGGCGUGCCUAAUACAUGCAAGUCGAGCGAACAGACGAGGAGCUUGCUCCUCUGACGUUAGCGGCGGACGGGUGAGUAACACGUAGCUAACCUACCUAUUAGACUUGGCUAACUUCGGGAAACCGGAGCAACUACCGGAUACUCUAUUUAACCGCAUGGUUCAAUAGUGAAAGACGGUUUUGCUGUCACUUCUAGAUGUAUCCGCGACGCAGUAGCUAGUUGGUAAGGUAACGGCUUACCAAGGCGGCGAUGCGUUGCCGACAUGAGGGGGGGAUGGGGGACACUGGAACUGAGACGCGGUCCAGACACCGAGGGGAGGCCCAAGUAGGGAAGGGAGGGAGAUGGGGGAAAGAUUGAAGGAGCAGUGGAGGGUGAGUGAAGAAGGGCUUCGGAUGGGAAAACUCUGUUAGUGGUGAAGAACAAAUGUGUAAGUGACUAAGCACGGUGUGACGGUAGUGGAUCAGGAAGCACCGGCUAACUACGUG
RNAcentral lists this ribosomal RNA (497 nucleotides) under uncultured bacterium. RNAcentral's name for it is "partial 16S ribosomal RNA". It matches the Rfam family "Bacterial small subunit ribosomal RNA", at positions 28 to 507 of the family's 1533-position model. The record is from RNAcentral.